RNAcentral lists this ribosomal RNA (488 nucleotides) under uncultured bacterium. Its description in RNAcentral is "partial 16S ribosomal RNA". It matches the Rfam family "Bacterial small subunit ribosomal RNA", at positions 28 to 507 of the family's 1533-position model. The record is from RNAcentral.
GACGAACGCUGGCGGCGGGCUUAACACAUGCAAGUCGAACGGAAAGGCCCUGCUUUUGUGGGGUGCUCGAGUGGCGAACGGGUGAGUAACCCGUGAGUAACCUUGCCUUGACUUGGGGAUAACUGCAGGAAACUGGGGCUAAUACCGGAUAGGAGCUCCUGCUGCAGGGUGGGGGUUGGAAAGUUUCGGCGGUUGGGGAUGGACUCAGGGCUGAUCAGCUUGUUGGUGGGGUAAUGGCCUACCAAGGCGUUGAGCGGUAGCCGGUCGGAGAGGAUGACCAGUCACACUGGAACUGAGACACGGUCCAGACGCCUACGGGAGGCAGAAGUGGGGAAUAUUGGACAAGGGGCGGAAGCCGGAUCCAGCCAGGCCGCGUGUGUGAAGAAGGGCUUCGGAUUGUAAAGCACGUGAAGUUGGGAGGAAGGGCAGUAAGUUAAUACCUUGCUGUUGUGACGUGACCAACAGAAUAAGCACCGGCUAACUUCGUG